GUGGGGAAUCUUGCGCAAUGGGCGAAAGCCUGACGCAGCCAUGCCGCGUGGAUGAUGAAGGUCUUAGGAUUGUAAAAUCCUUUCACCGGUGAAGAUAAUGACUGUAGCCGGAGAAGAAGCCCCGGCUAACUUCGUGCCAGCAGCCGCGGUAAUACGAAGGGGGCUAGCGUUGCUCGGAUUUACUGGGCGUAAAGGGCGCGUAGGCGGACAUUUACGUCAGGGGUGAAAUCCCGGGGCUCAACCUCGGAACUGCCUUUGAUACUGGGUGUCUUGAGUAUGAGAGAGGUGUGUGGAACUCCGAGUGUAGAGGUGAAAUUCGUAGAUAUUCGGAAGAACACCAGUGGCGAAGGCGACACACUGGCUCAUUACUGACGCUGAGGCGCGAAAGCGUGGGGAGCAAACAGGAUUAGAUACCCUAGUAGUCC
This 425-nucleotide ribosomal RNA is filed under the name uncultured bacterium. RNAcentral describes it as "partial 16S ribosomal RNA". It matches the Rfam family "Bacterial small subunit ribosomal RNA", at positions 354 to 796 of the family's 1533-position model. The record is from RNAcentral.